RNAcentral lists this ribosomal RNA (258 nucleotides) under uncultured archaeon. RNAcentral describes it as "partial 16S ribosomal RNA". It matches the Rfam family "Archaeal small subunit ribosomal RNA", at positions 748 to 1005 of the family's 1478-position model. The record is from RNAcentral.
AGGGUGUAAACGCUGCAGACUUGGUGUUGGAGGCCCUUUGGGGGCAUUCAGUGCCGGAGAGAAGUUGUUAAGUCUGCUACUUGGGGAGUACGUCCGCAAGGAUGAAACUUAAAGGAAUUGGCGGGGGAGCACCGCAACGGGAGGAGCGUGCGGUUUAAUUGGAUUCAACACCGUAAAACUCACCAGGGAAGACUGUUACAUGAAGGCCGAGAUGAAGACUCUGCUAGAUUUUCAGAGAGGAGGUGCAUGGCGUCAGUG